GUUUUCUGUUUUGUUUUUCAGAUGGAUCCUGGCAUGGAGGCUCUGAUGGAUGGAAUCCGAUCUGCUGUUCGUGAGAGGGGAAUUUCUUGGGUUCAGGACUGCCUUACUUCUGGGUCUGGGCCUUCUUCUGCGCCACUGCAUCAGCCCACGAGGCGGACAAGGAUGGCCCAGCAAUUGAGUCCCAGUGCGGUUCCCAGGAGGCGACGGAGUAGGAGCCCUUCAGCAGGGCCUGUGGAUAGGAG
This is a non-coding RNA of Pelobates cultripes (western spadefoot toad), 242 nucleotides long. NCBI's taxonomy places the organism in Eukaryota, Metazoa, Chordata, Amphibia, Anura, Pelobatidae. The record is from the annotation of a GenBank genome assembly.